AGUGAACGCUGGCGGUAGGCCUAACACAUGCAAGUCGAACGGCAGCACAGUAAGAGCUUGCUCUUACGGGUGGCGAGUGGCGGACGGGUGAGGAAUACAUCGGAAUCUACUUUUUCGUGGGGGAUAACGUAGGGAAACUUACGCUAAUACCGCAUACGACCUACGGGUGAAAGCAGGGGAUCUUCGGACCUUGCGCGAUUGAAUGAGCCGAUGUCGGAUUAGCUAGUUGGCGGGGUAAAGGCCCACCAAGGCGACGAUCCGUAGCUGGUCUGAGAGGAUGAUCAGCCACACUGGAACUGAGACACGGUACAGACUCCUACGGGAGGCAGCAGUGGGGAAUAUUGGACAAUGGGCGCAAGACUGAUCCAGCCAUACCGCGUGGGUGAAGAAGGCCUUCGGGUUGUAAAGCCCUUUUGUUGGGAAAGAAAAGCAGCAGGUUAAUACCCCGCUGUUCUGACGGUACCCAAAGAAUAAGCACCGGCUAACUUCGUG
RNAcentral lists this ribosomal RNA (492 nucleotides) under uncultured bacterium. RNAcentral describes it as "partial 16S ribosomal RNA". It matches the Rfam family "Bacterial small subunit ribosomal RNA", at positions 29 to 507 of the family's 1533-position model. The record is from RNAcentral.